CCUACGGGAGGCAGCAGUAAGGAAUAUUGGUCAAUGGACGCAAGUCUGAACCAGCCAUGCCGCGUGCAGGAUGACGGCCCUCUGGGUUGUAAACUGCUUUUAUAGGGGACGAAAAAAGGGCUUUCUAGCUCGUCUGACGGUACCCUAGGAAUAAGCACCGGCUAACUCCGUGCCAGCAGCCGCGGUAAUACGGAGGGUGCAAGCGUUAUCCGGAUUUACUGGGUUUAAAGGGUGCGUAGGUGGGUCGGUAAGUCAGCGGUGAAAUCUUCGAGCUUAACUCGGAAACUGCCAUUGAUACUAUCGAUCUUGAAUCAUCUGGAGGUAAGCGGAAUAUGCCAUGUAGCGGUGAAAUGCUUAGAUAUGACAUAGAACACCAAUUGCGAAGGCAGCUUACUACGGAUGCAUUGACACUGAGGCACGAAAGCGUGGGGAUCAAACAGGAUUAGAUACCCUGGUAGUCCACGCCCUAAACCGAUGGAUACUCGACAUUUGAGAUAUACUUUAAGUGUCUGAGCGAAAGCAUUAAGUAUCCCACCUGGGAAGUACGAUUCGCAAGAUUGAAACUUCAAAUUGAUUAGAGNGNGAGAGNGCGAGCGACGACGAGGAGGAGG
This 611-nucleotide ribosomal RNA is filed under the name uncultured bacterium. RNAcentral describes it as "bacterial SSU rRNA". It matches the Rfam family "Bacterial small subunit ribosomal RNA", at positions 338 to 944 of the family's 1533-position model. The record is from RNAcentral.